UGGGGAAUCUUGCGCAAGUGGGCGAAAGCCUGACGCAGCGACGCCGCGUGAGCGAUGAAGGCCUUCGGGUUGUAAAGCUCUGUGGGGAGAGAAGAAUAAGGGUUGGCUAACAUCCAACCUGAUGACGGUAUCUCCUUAGCAAGCACCGGCUAACUCUGUGCCAGCAGCCGCGGUAAGACAGAGGGUGCAAACGUUGUUCGGAAUCACUGGGCGUAAAGCGCAUGUAGGCGGUUUGGAAAGUCGGAUGUGAAACCCCACGGCUCAACCGAUGGAAGUGCAUUCGAAACUGCCAGACUAGAGUCCUGGAGAGGAAGCGGAAUACUGGGUGUAGAGGUGAAAUUCGUAGAUAUCCAGUGGAACACCGGUGGCGAAGGCGGCCUUCUGGACAGUGACUGACGCUGAAAUGCGAAAGCUGGGGAGCGAAACAGGAUUAGAAACCCCUGUAG
This 446-nucleotide ribosomal RNA is filed under the name uncultured bacterium. RNAcentral describes it as "bacterial SSU rRNA". It matches the Rfam family "Bacterial small subunit ribosomal RNA", at positions 355 to 793 of the family's 1533-position model. The record is from RNAcentral.